This is a long non-coding RNA of Xiphophorus maculatus (southern platyfish), 2684 nucleotides long. RefSeq lists it as uncharacterized. NCBI's taxonomy places the organism in Eukaryota, Metazoa, Chordata, Actinopteri, Cyprinodontiformes, Poeciliidae. The transcript is spliced from 3 exons. The record is from RefSeq and is a predicted model, not a curated record.
UAUGUUAACUUAACCAUCAGAGGGCGCUGUUUCUCCAACAUCAGGGUAGAAAACAAACUCCAGCAUGGAUUCUGAACUCAGCCUCAGCAGGAACAACAGGAAAUCCUGAAUCAGGAAUGUGAGGAAGCCAUAAACAAACGGUUCCGCCACCUCUGUGGGAAAUGCUCUUAGGCUUUUUCUAUCAGGCAAACGAUUGAGUCGCCCGCAGACAUCUUUGCGUUCUGUGACUAUAAGUGGUUGAGGCUACUGCUAACUAGCUGCUAAUAAACCCUGGUGAGCUAUCUAGCCUUUGCAACUAAAUGGGUAAGUGCAAAUUUAUUGACAGUUGGUUCAAUGACAUUUUCGGCACUGGCUCACCGAUAAGAGGCGAGGUGCAUUAUGUGCAAAACACAACAAAAAACAAACUUUUAAGGUAGGCAUUAUGGGGAUUAAGGUUAAAGAAAGCCUUAUGCAACUUGAAAAUUACAAAGCUGCUAACAAGAGCCACAAACAGAUCCCAGAAACUUCACAAUUACUCCACUUUGACUAAUACAGCAGGAUCUCCCAACCAUUCCUUGUAUUUGUGUCUCUUCAGUCUUAAAUUUAAUUCAAACGUCUUAAAAAGUCUUAAAUUUGACUUGCUGAAACCUGUAGCUCCUUUGUAAGCUAUUUAGAAGGAUAAUACUUCAUAAAAAAAACAAAAGGUACAUGGCACAGGCAGCUCAGAAAGGCCGUGUUUUACCUGGAUUUUACACUCAUCUCCUCAAAAAAAAAAAAAGCCCAGCUAUUGCUGCAACUGUAAGUCCGGGUAUUUGGCUUGGUCCACGGAGAGUGAACCUUUGGCUCUCUCAAAGUGAACAUAUUUCCACUAAGUCUUGGCACAAGAGGAUUGGCAGGAGCAGGGAUUGAGUUGGACGGACUGGGAAGAGACUGAGGCUCAGAUAAGACUUGAACAAACACAAAGUUCUGAUGUGAUCCUGGCGUACGCUCUGGGUCAGUUCAAAAGAGUUUCAGCCCGACAUUAAAAAUGUAACGUGGAUUCUUGUGCAUUUUGACAUGAAGAGUAACAAUGCACAGGUAUGACAUUCCUGGUAAAGAUCAGAUGCAAUAAACUGACCUGAGAUAAAGUCAGUUUAUUGCAGUUGUUCGAUUUAUACAAACCCAACAUUUAAUUCAAGAACAUUUCUUCAUUCGGGGGGGCAAAAGUCACAAUUAUUGGUAGGUUUAACAACUCUUUUGUAAUAAAUGUAGUUUUAUGUCUACUUUUUAAAAGAAAAUUGAUAAAUGUUUCUAGGAACUUUUAAAAUAUAUAAACCAUGACUUUCUUUUCCGCCAGGGCAUAAUUUGAUGCCAGCCAGUUGUUAGUGACGAAAAGACAAAAAGUAAACGCAAGGUGAAUUUAUUUUCAUGCUCUUUAUACAUCUUCAUCAAGAGUGCCGAUAAAUGUGUAGCACUCUCCUGGGCUUCCCGUCUAAAGUGGAUAAAACCGGUUUUACACUAGACUGAUACUUGAAGUGCUACAUGGACUUUACUGGAACUGAUGUGAAGAGAGGGCACAGAAAGAAACAAUUACAACGACCUUGUAUCUAAAGGUUUACUGAUUCAUACCAGAAAUGCAUGAGUUCAGUUUUUUUUUAAAUAUAUUUUAUCUCUGAAAAAUUGUCAAAACAAGCCUGCGUGGAGCCUUUCAAAUUCUCCCUAUGCAUGGACGGGUUGGCUCUGGUUUCCUCCCACCGUCCAAAGACUUUUAUGUUAACUGGUUUCCCCAAAUUGUUUUUAAGUACAAUGGUGCGCAUGCAUGGUUUCUCAGCAUCACACUGUGUUCAAACUGUUGUUUUGUGCAGAUCCUUUCACUCACUGAUCACCGGAGACGGGCAGCAGCAACCCUGCAAAGAUAAGUGGUGUAUGGAUGGAUGGAAAUCUCCCGCGCGUUGAUGGGCCGCCAGACGGUUUUUAAGCAGAAUAUGGCUUAGCUGUUUUUUUCUGAAAUAAGCUGGAAACAUUACGGGCCGUGUGCCGUUACACGUACAUGGGAUUAAAUUAGAAAGCCAUCGAAAAGUUGCUUUAUUUCAGAAAUUCAAUUCAUAAAGUAAAACUUAUAAAGACCCAUUACACACCGCAAUAAUUCCAGUGAUCGGUUCUGCUAGCUUUGAUAGCUUUGGCUUGCAGCCAGUAAAAAUCCAGCAGUACGACACUAAUAAAAACGAUCUUUAAUACAGAGAUGUUAUGUUAUGACCAUGUUAUGGCCUUCACCAUUAUGGGGAAGACUGCUGAGCUGGCGCUCUGCAGCUGGCAGUCGUUGACAGCCUCCGUAAGGAGCGUGUGACCCAAAAGGUCCAUUUGCAGAAAGGCUGAGUGUUCCAUGAGGUCGAUGAGCGAGCACGUCAAGAGAAAGUUGAGUGGAAGGAAAAAGUGCGACACGAGCAUCCAGGUAUCCUGGAGCCCAGGGAAGAUUGUGAAGCGAAGUCCCUUUAGGGAUUUUGGGGAGAUUCAUAAGUCUCAAUGCUUCAAGGUUCACCACGAACUUAUAUGUAGCAAUGUGUCUGUGCUUAACUUUUAGGUUUCACUUUUAAAUUAAUUAGUAUAGUGAGAUGACCUGUAUGGAGAUGAUAACGUUUGUUUUUUAUUCAUUUAUUUUUUUAGCUGCUGAACUCUUUUUCCACCCUGUGUGUAUUAACCUUUUGCUUGUUACCCAAUGUAAAAAA